UCGUGAUUUGAUAAGAUUGCAAUUGUUGCAGUUCUUCAGGGCUCCACUGCAGUGAGCACUAACUGCAAUUCUCUCUCGAGUCAAUUAGUGGGAUACUGGAAAGUUAACAUCAAAAUCAAAGAACUUAUUGACCAGCAUGAUUGCAGCCGUGCAACAAGUGUGUAGCAGAUGUUGGAGGCCUAUGGUUAAGCAAUCCCCUGGUCUGGAUGCACAAUUUCAAGCGUGUCCUGCUGGCACACAUCUGAAGCUGCUAUUUCAUAGUGUUUCUGAACUAGGAGCCACCAGUGGCCCAAGAGCUGUCACGCUCCAUCUCGGUGAAGACCCACCUCCUUUCGUGGUUCCUCUCUCGCACUGGUGCUGAGGUUUCCAGUGAAGCACAAGAAUAGCUGUGAGUCUGAGCUGAAUCCUGCGAUGGGAAAUGCUGAUUGUCUGCACUUUCUUCCUCCUAUUACUGAAAAGAUUAUGAAAAAGUAUGUUUGCAUCCACGUUUCCAAUAUAUUUAUUAAUAUGAAAAGUUUUUGGAGUCCAACACUGCAAAAGCAAAGCAUGGGAAGGCAGGCGUAAAAUGUACUGGUUCAUGUCGGUGGCAGCUGCAGUUUCAUUUCUGUGGCAGAGUGAUAAAUGACAGGAAUUCACAAUUUUCUCCCAACUCCCUUGGAAGAUGUAUUCUAUAGAAUGAAAAUAGAAGCACUGAAUUAUUAAGAAUCAUCCCCUUUACAUAUGAAAAUGGUAUGGUGUCAUGUUAAAUACACCAUAUUAAGAGGUCAAUUAGAGACCUAUUUUGAGUUAAUGGAAUUAGUUCUUUUUUUAUUUUACAUUUUAAAUGCAAUCUUUCAAAGUGUACUGGAGAUCGAAGGAAUAGAAAAUAGAGUAAUCCAGUUAAAGGCAGUUAAUGCUUGCAGAAUGCCUGAGAGCAAUGCUGAUGGGUGAGAGGGUGUGAUGGGGCAAGGGCUGAGCAGACAGCACCCUUUUCUUCCCAUCUGCAUUGACUUCCCUGUGUGUAACUGAGAAAAGCUACUUUUUUUAGUACAUUCCCUAUAUCUGAAUAGACCAUAAAACAAGGGAAAAUAUGCUUGGGCCCUGGCUCCCAACCACAGCCCUCAUUUCACUAAAUUUUACAGUACUUUCCUUAAAUCCUAUUUGAUUCAGUGGAAACUGAGUAUAUGCAAAAGUCCUGAGUGCAAUAUUGCAACUGGUCAAGGUACAAUUGUUGCAUUAGUCACUGGACAGUUGUUCAGCCACAGAUUUACGUUGGAAUCAGCUCCAAAGGGAAAUAGCUAGAGAGAGCUUCUCUACUCUUCAAAGGAUUUGCUGCUCCCAUGCUGCCUCUGGAAUAUUAAUGCACAUGGAAAUUGUCCCGUCCCCGCCAUGUUACAAGAGAGGAGAUGAUGGCUGCAAAAGGGGAAGCCUCUGGACCAAAGGACAAGUCAAUAAAGGCGACACUAGGAGUAUUUUGGCAUCCAAGGACAGUCCUGCCCACACAUCCCCCAGGACCCCUGCUAGUCUUCUCCCUCCACCCUGCCCAAGCACACAUCCAUUUUGGCAUUUGCACUAGGGACCUGGAUUCAGCUGGAAAGUCAACCCGAGAAAAAAACCCAAUAGGCUGGUUUUCUUCCAGCUGACUUAUUCUUGCCCAUGUGGCAUAAAUCGCUACCAAAAUAGAUAUAUAUCUAUAGUCUCCUUUUGCCUGGUCUCUAGAUAAGCUGCACACAGCACUUCUGUAUUAGGAACACUGUUUACAGUAUAGACCUGCGGGAUGGCAACUUUUGUCGCCAGAGUUACUGCUUAGCUAAAGAGAUGAUACGUACAGUGCAUGAAAGGGGACACAUUUAUGCUGUACAGAAGAGCCUGGCAAUAGUUUAGCUCACACACGCACACUGCCGCUGCAGCAUCGGCACUGAAGAGACUAGACCCUUCUCCAAACAGUACCACUGUACCAGUGCAGUCCCCGUGGCUCCAUUUCUGUAGCAGAGCAGGCAUGAAUUCCUCUUGAUUCAUCUUGUCUGGUCAUAGUUCAGGGUUCCAAAAUGUUUGGGCCAAGGGUUUCUUUUAUUUUGGUGAUAUGCUCCCUGCAGAGCCAAUUAUUGGUACCUAACAAAGAAAACCACCAGAUCCUAAGCAACCCCAAUGCUUGUAUAACGGUAAUUUGAAAACUGUAUGGGGCAUAAGAUUAAGAAUGUUGCAUUUCCAGUUGGUUGAACCGUGUAACUGGGUAGAGCUCUUCUCUCUGUAGCUGCUGGGACUAAAGGGUUGAUGUCAAUGUUAACAUUAGGAGGAGACUUGUCAUCCAGGACUUUGCCACAGAGCCCCCAUCGCUACCUCUUGCUACUGUGGAGGCCUGAUCCUGCACUGGAGAGAUGCCGGCAACCAACCCAGCCCUCCCGGCUUGGGAAUUCGAGCCACUCACUUUCCUGUAAGCUGGGCCACAAGACCGCUCAUUUCCUGGCACUUUCUGACUCUUGAUCUUAUUCCACUGAUUUUUCCUUUACAAACAACAGGGGGAAAUCUGGGAAAGCUGUGGAAAACAGAAAGGAGAAAUAGGUCACGCUAGAAAUUCUGAAACCUCAGCAAAGCUCUUGUUUAAAGUGAUUAAUUCAGUGACCUCUGACCACAAGGCAGACCUUCAAUUUGCCAGGAGAGGAUAAAAGAGUCAAGAUCUGAAUGAAUAAAGAAGGGAUGAAGGGUGAGUUAAUCCAGUAACUGUGAAGGAGCAUUGGAAAUAAAAAUACUCAGCAUAUA
This is a long non-coding RNA of Aquila chrysaetos chrysaetos, 2739 nucleotides long. RefSeq lists it as uncharacterized. NCBI's taxonomy places the organism in Eukaryota, Metazoa, Chordata, Aves, Accipitriformes, Accipitridae. The transcript has 4 exons. The record is from RefSeq and is a predicted model, not a curated record.